Long non-coding RNA from Chinchilla lanigera (long-tailed chinchilla), 557 nucleotides. RefSeq lists it as uncharacterized. Lineage: Eukaryota; Metazoa; Chordata; Mammalia; Rodentia; Chinchillidae. The transcript is spliced from 3 exons. The record is from RefSeq and is a predicted model, not a curated record.
UUGGUUUGCUUGUUUGUCUGGUUUUGGUUUUAUGUUUUAAUCUUCCGCUGCUGAACUGGAAAGUUAGCUCUGGGUAACUUGAGGUUCAACUCCACACUGACUGUUUUCUCCACCUUGGCAAUCUGAAACUUUGCAGGGCUUUAAUUCCCCCCAUCACUGGGAGAUUCUUGGAGUCACUGUUGAAGAAGGGUGGUAUGGAAGAUGUUGUGAAUCCAAAUUUUUGAAUGAAGAUCAUCAGGUGUCUAGGGCAGGAGGUAAAGGAUUCUGUGGAAGGAAGGGCAGACACAGGGAGUCUGAUAGCCCCGAGCAGAAGGACCUUCAGCAGUGCCUCACUGACUGUACUGGUCAUCUGGUGUGAGGGAAAAGAUGCAUAUAGCAGAGAGUAGAAGAAAGGAGAGGUGGAACAGCCCAAAAUGGAAGAAGGGGAACAAGAUAAUGAAGAAAACUCACCAGGCUCCUAAAGCCAUAGGCCAGAAAAGAUGCUGCUCACGUCUGUCUGUGUGUUCUGGUCCCGUGAUUACAUCUUGCUUCAACACGAGCUGAGCCAAGUCUCCAGA